Molecule: ribosomal RNA, 253 nt
Filed under: uncultured bacterium
Lineage: Bacteria
Description: partial 16S ribosomal RNA
Rfam family: Bacterial small subunit ribosomal RNA
Source: RNAcentral
UACGGAGGGUGCAAGCGUUAAUCGGAACUACUGGGCGUAAAGCGUGCGCAGGCGGUUAUGCAAGACAGACGUGAAAUCCCCGGGCUCAACCUGGGAACUGCAUUUGUGACUGCAUGGCUAGCGUGCGGCAGAGGGGGAUGGAAUUCCGCGUGUAGCAGUGAAAUGCGUAGAUAUGCGGAGGAACACCGAUGGCGAAGGCAAUCCCCUGGGCCUGCACUGACGCUCAUGCACGAAAGCGUGGGGAGCAAACAGG